RNAcentral lists this transfer RNA (73 nucleotides) under Pseudonocardiaceae bacterium. RNAcentral describes it as "tRNA-Phe". It matches the Rfam family "tRNA". From Rfam's summary of the family: Transfer RNA (tRNA) molecules are approximately 80 nucleotides in length. Their secondary structure includes four short double-helical elements and three loops (D, anti-codon, and T loops). RNAcentral also lists the same sequence under 3 other names. The record is from RNAcentral. Lineage: Bacteria; Bacillati; Actinomycetota; Actinomycetes; Pseudonocardiales; Pseudonocardiaceae.
GGUCGGAUAGCUCAGUUGGUAGAGCGCGCGCCUGAAAAGCGCGAGGUCGUCGGAUCGACGCCGACUCCGACCA